Molecule: non-coding RNA, 417 nt
Organism: Meleagris gallopavo (turkey)
Lineage: Eukaryota; Metazoa; Chordata; Aves; Galliformes; Phasianidae
Source: RefSeq, a predicted model, not a curated record
CAAGCCUGGGGACACAAGCAACAAGACACCCGGUGAGAUGCGCACCUGGAUCUGCUAUGUCAGACAACCAGAAAGCUCUGGGCAGGUGGGGUAGGUUGGAAGAAAUGUUUCCUGCUAAUGCCUACCUUGAAGUGAGUUAAACUUCUGUUGAGAUACUGCAUCAGCUGGCAAUGGUGUUUAAUGCAGUCAAGGAGCCACAUUUUUGUUUAAUUGAAGUGAUGCUCUCAUUGCCUGGUGUGAGUGGGUUUUCCCUGCAUUCUCCUCUCUGAGAAACCAGCUAUGAGAUGCUUUGUCCCUGACUCCUGGGCAGCCUUGAAGAUUACACACGUUUUUCCAUCACCUGCUGGAAUUGCACUGACAUAAUGCAUCCACAUAAAAGAUGAGAAAAACUAGAGUACCUCAUCUAUUAAAAAAAAA